This 83-nucleotide transfer RNA is filed under the name Candidatus Moraniibacteriota bacterium. Its description in RNAcentral is "tRNA-Tyr". It matches the Rfam family "tRNA". Rfam says of the family: Transfer RNA (tRNA) molecules are approximately 80 nucleotides in length. Their secondary structure includes four short double-helical elements and three loops (D, anti-codon, and T loops). Further hydrogen bonds mediate the characteristic L-shaped molecular structure. tRNAs have two regions of fundamental functional importance: the anti-codon, which is responsible for specific mRNA codon recognition, and the 3' end, to which the tRNAs corresponding amino acid is attached (by aminoacyl-tRNA synthetases). tRNAs cope with the degeneracy of the genetic code in two manners: having more than one tRNA (with a specific anti-codon) for a particular amino acid; and 'wobble' base-pairing, i.e. permitting non-standard base-pairing at the 3rd anti-codon position. Lineage: Bacteria; Candidatus Moraniibacteriota. The record is from RNAcentral.
GGGUAGGUGGUAGAGUGGUCAAUUACUGCGGACUGUAAAUCCGCCGCCUUCGGGCUUCGGGGGUUCGAAUCCCUCCCUACCCA